ACGGGUGAGUAACGCGUGGGAACGUACCUUUUGGUUCGGAACAACUGAGGGAAACUUCAGCUAAUACCGGAUAAGCCCUUACGGGGAAAGAUUUAUCGCCGAAAGAUCGGCCCGCGUCUGAUUAGCUAGUUGGUGAGGUAAGAGCUCACCAAGGCGACGAUCAGUAGCUGGUCUGAGAGGAUGAUCAGCCACACUGGGACUGAGACACGGCCCAGACUCCUACGGGAGGCAGCAGUGGGGAAUAUUGGACAAUGGGCGCAAGCCUGAUCCAGCCAUGCCGCGUGAGUGAUGAAGGCCCUAGGGUUGUAAAGCUCUUUUGUGCGGGAAGAUAAUGACGGUACCGCAAGAAUAAGCCCCGGCUAACUUCGUGCCAGCAGCCGCGGUAAUACGAAGGGGGCUAGCGUUGCUCGGAAUCACUGGGCGUAAAGGGUGCGUAGGCGGGUCUUUAAGUCAGGGGUGAAAUCCUGGAGCUCAACUCCAGAACUGCCUUUGAUACUGAGGAUCUUGAGUUCGGGAGAGGUGAGUGGAACUGCGAGUGUAGUAGGUGAAAUUCGUAGA
RNAcentral lists this ribosomal RNA (558 nucleotides) under Bradyrhizobiaceae bacterium BvIRR157. RNAcentral describes it as "bacterial SSU rRNA". It matches the Rfam family "Bacterial small subunit ribosomal RNA", at positions 102 to 694 of the family's 1533-position model. The record is from RNAcentral. Lineage: Bacteria; Pseudomonadati; Pseudomonadota; Alphaproteobacteria; Hyphomicrobiales; Nitrobacteraceae.